GCUCCCGUAGCUCAGGUGGACAGAGCAUCUGCCUUCUAAGCAGAGGGUCGCAGGUUCGAGUCCUGCCGGGAGUG
This 74-nucleotide transfer RNA is filed under the name Bacteroidota bacterium. RNAcentral describes it as "tRNA-Arg". It matches the Rfam family "tRNA". Rfam says of the family: Transfer RNA (tRNA) molecules are approximately 80 nucleotides in length. Their secondary structure includes four short double-helical elements and three loops (D, anti-codon, and T loops). The record is from RNAcentral. Lineage: Bacteria; Pseudomonadati; Bacteroidota.